AUAUCGUGUAAUGGAAAAGCUUCUUAAAAAAUGAAUGUCAAAGCUGCUAUGGAGGCCAAAGGCUUCUAUGGAGGUUGAAAAAUCCUUUUUCGAAACAAGUUCCAAACGUUAAUAUUUAUAGGCAGAUCUUCUAGGGUUAACAACUUGAGCGGGAAAUACAUUUGAACUUGGUCAAAAAUCUUUCAAAUUCGAACGUUUGAGGCUUGAAACAGACAUCACGUGAUACCUUGGAGAGAGG
This 238-nucleotide long non-coding RNA is filed under the name Solanum tuberosum (potato). Its description in RNAcentral is "long non-coding RNA (STUB_LNC005458)". Lineage: Eukaryota; Viridiplantae; Streptophyta; Magnoliopsida; Solanales; Solanaceae. The record is from RNAcentral.